Non-coding RNA from Octopus bimaculoides (California two-spot octopus), 105 nucleotides. Lineage: Eukaryota; Metazoa; Mollusca; Cephalopoda; Octopoda; Octopodidae. The record is from Rfam.
AGGAUCUUUACCUUUAUAUAUAUUAAAACUGGAAUGAUACAGAGAAGAUUAGCAUGGCCCCUGCGCAAGGACAACAUGCAAAUUCAUGAAGCGUUCCACAUUUUU